CACACACAAACUCCUUCAAGCUUCCGAGUCAUAGACCAGCAUGGACUUCAAUAAGGCACUGAAAACAACAGGAAACGCAUUAUUGACUGGGACGAGGCUGGGAUAAAUCCUGACUGAAAGAUUUCAUGAAUGUCUUCAUUUCAUGACUGUCAGUCUGUAUAUGGUGUAACCUCAGUGACACCUCAAGCCUCUUUUCUGCUGCCUGCCCCAGCUCUAGAUUCUGCAAAUGGGAGCAACACCUUCCCGGGUGGAAUCGACUCUAUCCUGGCUUAAAUGGCUAGAUUUACUGAAAUAAGAUAGGAACUUUAUCUGUAUCUGUUGUGACCAUCAUAUUAGGACUGGGUCUAGGGCUUGGACUUCAGCUGCAAAAGUGCAAGAACAAG
This is a long non-coding RNA of Ictalurus punctatus (channel catfish), 383 nucleotides long. The record is from Ensembl. NCBI's taxonomy places the organism in Eukaryota, Metazoa, Chordata, Actinopteri, Siluriformes, Ictaluridae.